This 400-nucleotide ribosomal RNA is filed under the name uncultured fungus. RNAcentral describes it as "partial small subunit ribosomal RNA". It matches the Rfam family "Eukaryotic small subunit ribosomal RNA", at positions 30 to 432 of the family's 1831-position model. The record is from RNAcentral. Lineage: Eukaryota; Fungi.
GCUUGUCUCAAAGAUUAAGCCAUGCAAAGGAACGUUCAACCCCAUUUGGGGAAGACGCUGGCCGGCUCAUUAAAUCAGUCAUAGUUCAUUCGACAGAUCACUCUACAUGGAUAACCGUAGUAAUUCUAGAGCUAAUACAUGCGAAAAGACCCGACUUUUUGGAAGGGUUGUAUUUAUUAGAUACAAAACCAAUGCGGAGCAAUCCGGUUUGUGGUGAUUCAUAAUAACUUUGCGAAUCGCAUGGCCUUGCGCCGGCGAUGAAUCAUUCAAAUUUCUGCCCUAUCAACUUUCGAUGGUAAGGUAUUGGCCUACCAUGGUUACAACGGGUAACGGGGAAUUAGGGUUCGGUUCCGGAGAGGGCGCCUGAGAAAUGGCGACCACAUCCAAGGAAGGCAGCAGG